AACGCAUCUUGCGCUCCUUGGUAUUCCGAGGAGCAUGCCUGUUUGAGGGUCAUUAUUAUCUCAACUCCUAUAGCUUUUUUUGUUAUGGACAGUUGGAUUUGGAGGAUUUGUGCAGGCAAAUUGGUCUGCUCCUCUGAAAUGCAUUGGCAGCAUUUGCGUGAAGGGGGGAGACCUGCUUUGGAUGUGAUAAUUAUCUGCAUUCAAUGGAACUUCACCUGGCUGAUAUUAAACGCUCAUUUGCUUGACCUCAAAUCAGGUAGGACUACCCGCUGAACUUAA
RNAcentral lists this unclassified non-coding RNA (279 nucleotides) under uncultured Agaricales. RNAcentral's name for it is "sequence contains 5.8S rRNA gene, ITS2, 28S rRNA gene". The stretch from base 1 to 52 matches the Rfam family "5.8S ribosomal RNA", at positions 103 to 154 of the family's 154-position model. Lineage: Eukaryota; Fungi; Basidiomycota; Agaricomycetes; Agaricales. The record is from RNAcentral.